GAAAUUCUUUAAUUUAUUUAAUUGAAGUUUUUUGUUAUCAAUUUUCAAAUAUGUUGGAUUGAAAUUUGUCAAUGUAGACAAUAAUAAAACAUAAUGCAACGUUAUUACAUUUGAUUAUGUUGAAUUACGAGGAUCGUGUUCAUGAUAAAUUUAAUAUAUAAACAUAUAGAAACCGUAGAUGCUUUUUAACAAUUUGCACAGAUUCCAAAUUUGAGUCCUCCCCUCCUUUCUAAACACAAAGAUAAAGAAUAAAUAAUGCCAUUACUAUAAGAAAGGUUUACCAACUGGUCAUUAAGAAACUUUGUUAAUAUAUAUAUAUUUUUUAUUGUGUAUUGAUGGUGUAUCUUUGCAUAUUAUCAGGCCUGAGUCUGAACUUAUCAAAGG
Molecule: unclassified non-coding RNA, 384 nt
Filed under: Hevea brasiliensis (rubber tree)
Lineage: Eukaryota; Viridiplantae; Streptophyta; Magnoliopsida; Malpighiales; Euphorbiaceae
Source: RNAcentral